GACGAACGCUGGCGGCGUGCUUAACACAUGCAAGUCGAACGGAGUUGCUAACGGGCGAGUUACUCGUGGGUGACCUGCCCUGCCUUUCGGGAUAAGCCUGAGUAACUGGGUCUAAUUCCUGCUAGUGUGGGAUGGGUGCGCGGUCUAGCAGCUUGUUGGUGGGGUAAUGGCUUACCAAGGCGGCGACGGGUAGCCGGCCUGAGAGGGUGGACGGCCACAUUGGGACUGAGGCACGGGCAAGACGCCUACGGGAGGCAGCGGUGGGGGAUAGUGCGCAAUGGGCGGAGGCAGGAUGGAGCGACGCCGCGUGGGGAAUGACGGCCAUCGGGUUGUAAACUCCUUUCACCAUAGACGCGGUAGAUGGAGAAGAAGCACCGGCUAACUACGUGCCAGCAGCCGCGGUAAUUC
This 408-nucleotide ribosomal RNA is filed under the name uncultured bacterium. Its description in RNAcentral is "partial 16S ribosomal RNA". It matches the Rfam family "Bacterial small subunit ribosomal RNA", at positions 28 to 526 of the family's 1533-position model. The record is from RNAcentral.